UACGUAGGGUGCAAGCGUUGCUCGGAAUCACUGGGCGUAAAGCGCACGUAGGCGGAUUGUUAAGUCAGGGGUGAAAUCCUGGAGCUCAACUCCAGAACUGCCUUUGAUACUGGCGAUCUUGAGUCCGGGAGAGGUGAGUGGAACUGCGAGUGUAGAGGUGAAAUUCGUAGAUAUUCGCAAGAACACCAGUGGCGAAGGCGGCUCACUGGCCCGGUACUGACGCUGAGGUGCGAAAGCGUGGGGAGCAAACAGG
RNAcentral lists this ribosomal RNA (253 nucleotides) under uncultured bacterium. RNAcentral's name for it is "partial 16S ribosomal RNA". It matches the Rfam family "Bacterial small subunit ribosomal RNA", at positions 524 to 776 of the family's 1533-position model. The record is from RNAcentral.